Molecule: long non-coding RNA, 2719 nt
Filed under: Papio anubis (olive baboon)
Lineage: Eukaryota; Metazoa; Chordata; Mammalia; Primates; Cercopithecidae
Description: lncRNA (ENSPANG00000042255.1)
Source: RNAcentral
UUCUUUCUUUGGUGACAGUCUUUUUACUUUUUAGGACAGUUUUACAUAUACAGGAAAACCAUGAAAAUGAAUCAGAGAGUUCCAAUAUAUUCAGUUUCCUGAUAGUUAGCAUCUUAUAUUAGUAUGGUACAAUUGCUGUAAUGAAUGAAAGAAAUAUUGAUACAUUAGCAUUAAAUUAGAUGUUUUAUUCAUAUUAUCUUAGUAUUUGCAUAAUUUUUUUUCUUUUCCAGGAUCCCAUCUAGAAUACCAUAAUAUAUUAUAUUUAGUUGUCAAGUCUCCUUAGGUUUGUCUUGGCUAUGACAGUCUCAAGAUGUAUUUGUUUUGAUGAUCUUGAAGGUAGUGUUGGAUAUUGUGAAGAAUAUCUCUCAACUGGAUUGUCUGAUGUUUUCCCUACGAUUAGACUGAGAUUACCAGUUUUGGGGAGAAAGAUCACAAAGGAAAUUGAAAGACGAUGCAAGAAGUGUCUUCAGGUUUCCACAGAAAUGGAAUUAAAUGAGAAACAUGUGGCACUUUCUGAUGGAUACAGAUCAUCCUGAAAUCACUUCACAUCUGCUGGCUAAAUAGAGAAAUAACUAUAAAUCUUUUCAAAAACAAAGGAGAGAAAAAUGUAGGAAAUACAUCAAGCAAUACUUUUAUGGCACCAUUAGUAUGACUCUAUAAAGAAGGUUAUUUAUAAUGGUGGAAUUGUUUGUCACACAGCAUAUGAAAAAAGGAAAUUCAAAUUAUAUAGAUGGGUUACAGUGUUAAACAUGAUCUUGUAAACUCUAGAUAUGUCACCUUCCUAGAUGCAAACCUUAUUUUUAAUUUUUAGCAAUAUUUUAACAAAUUAGAGAUGUAUGCAUAUUCAGCAUGGUUUAAAUUCAGAUCAUUCGGAUAUUUUUCAAACAAUCCUCAGUAGAAAUUUAAACAAGUUUAUCUUGUUCUCAUACAUGUGUUUAUGCACAAAGGGUUAUUUUGAAGUAUUGUUAAUGGUGAAUAAAUGUAUGCUAUGGAAUAAAUUCUUUACAACUGUGGAACUACUUCAUGAAAAAUGUGUAUAAAGCACACAGAAUUCAGACUUCUUCCUUCCAAAAAUAAAGUUUCUGGUUCAUACUUCUCCCCAUCAUGCUCCAUUUCCAAUUAUGCACCAUUGAACUAUUCACAUGCAAUUAUAUAAGAAUGUUUAUGUUUAAGCUUAGCAACAAUAAAUUUUUCAUCACUUCAAGAAAUAAUAUAUGUAUCCAUGAGUGUUAAAAAGACAAUAUUUUAUCAAUCUAUAACUAGUCUCAUGUUUCAAGUGCAAAGGCAAACUAUAUUAUCACAAUAUAAAUAUUUUCAUGUGAAAAUAUAAGAAUAAAGUCUCAUGCAUAUUCAUGUAAAACAAAAAAAGUAUAUGGCUACAAAAUGUCCUGUGUUGGCAAUAUUUUCAUCAUAAUCAGCAUUCCUGUUUCUCUUAACCAAUCUUCUAUCAUUGAUAGAAAAGAACUAUCAAUAUUUUAAUAAGAUUAAGUUAGAAAGGAAAGUAUAACAGUGCUUAUUUUAUUCCACUCAGACUCCACUACAGACCUGGAUGUGGUCGUGCCUGUGGAGGCAGAAGGGCUGUGGGGAGUUUUCAUUCAGCAGCCUAGUCUGGUAAGCUAAUGAAUACAAAUUUGACUCUUUGCUCUCUCCUUCAUGUCUUCAUAUACUUCCCCAGUGGUAUCAGCUGCAAAAAAAUGAAGACUGAAUCAGACUGAGACGUAAGCAAGGAUUGCACUCUGAGUUAGGCAGCUGUCAAAAAUAAUGUGAUUCCUUAUGUAAUAUUAGAGAAUAGGUAGAGAUACAUACAUAGUUGUAUUUUAUUAUUUGAUUUGACCAUUAAAGUACAGUUCUGUCUGCCAUACAUUUUUCCAUACUGGAGAGUAACCUCUAUUAAAUAUUAGGUUCUAAAUUCUGCCUGCUAUGAAUUUUCAACCAAAGAAAAGAAAGCCAUUUCAAUAAACUGCUAUACAAGAUACUAAAAUUUAAUGAUAUAAUUUAAGUGUUAUAAUUUUUUGAAAGGACAUUAGAGGUCAGAGUUAAACGUCUUCAUUUGCAGAUGCAGAGGCAGUUGAACAAUACAUUUUAACGGCUUGUUCAAGGUAAUUUUUAGCUUUCAUUGGACAUAAAUUGCGUGUUUUAUUUAGGUUCAAAAUUCUUGUAUGUCUAAUGGUGCUUCUCAAAAAUUUUCCAUUACAAUAUAAGAUGAUGCCUGUAUUGAGUGGGGAAUAUAUAACGGGGAAGUCAUUCUACCCCCACGAAGAAAUAACAGAGUGGUAAUUAGGAGAUGUAACUGAAAGAUGAAUCUAGUUCAGAAAUCCCCCCAUCCCUCCUCACAGUUCAGAAUAAAGGAACUUUCUGUGAGAAUUUUGUUCUAAACUAGGGUUUUAACUGUGACAUGUUAAUUUGCAACAUGUUAAUUUGAGGCAUGUUAAUUUAGGGUGCUGUAAAAGAGAGAGAGAGUAGAAAGAGAGAGGGAAAGGAAGAGAGAGAAAGAGAGAGAGAUAGGGAGGGAAAUAGCUUGUAAAUGAAGGGGCAGAUAAAGGGACAGAAGUACAAUUGCAAGCUGACUAGGCAUGACUUUCUACGCAAUGCAAUUGGCACUGCAGCAUCAACUUCCUCCUGCCUGCCUCAUUCAACAGUGCACAGGUUCACUGCCUGUCCAUUUCAUAGUAAGAAGAGAAAUAGAGGACAUUUAGUUUUUUGGUUAAGUCUUGAUGAU